This 74-nucleotide transfer RNA is filed under the name Ruminococcus sp. RNAcentral's name for it is "tRNA-Gln". It matches the Rfam family "tRNA". Rfam says of the family: Transfer RNA (tRNA) molecules are approximately 80 nucleotides in length. The record is from RNAcentral. Lineage: Bacteria; Bacillati; Bacillota; Clostridia; Eubacteriales; Oscillospiraceae.
UUCCGUUUCGUCUAAUGGCAGGACACCUGUUUCUGACGCAGGCAAUGAAAGUUCGACUCUUUCAACGGGAACCA